GACGACGCUGGCGGCGUGCCUAACACAUGCAAGUCGAGCGGAGAUAGGCGGAAGGUAACUGAAGCUUAUCUUAGCGGCGGACGGGUGAGUAACACGUGGGCAACCUGCCUUGAAGUGGGGGAUAACACCGGGAAAUCGGUGCUAAUACCGCAUAACAUACACAAACUGCAUGGUGAGUGUAUCAAAGGAGCAAUCCGCUUUAAGAUGGGCCCGCGGCUGAUUAGCUAGUUGGUAAGGUAACGGCUUACCAAGGCGACGAUCAGUAGCCGACCUGAGAGGGUGACCGGCCACACUGGAACUGAAACACGGUCCAUACACCUACGGGUGGCAGCAGUAGGGAAUAUUAGUAAUGGGCGAAAGCCUGAACUAGCAACGCCGCGUGUGCGAAGAAGGCCUUCGGGUCGUAAAGCACUUUUUGAGAGGAUGAGGAAGGACGGUACUCUCAGAAUAAGUCUCGGCUAACUACGUG
RNAcentral lists this ribosomal RNA (469 nucleotides) under uncultured bacterium. RNAcentral's name for it is "bacterial SSU rRNA". It matches the Rfam family "Bacterial small subunit ribosomal RNA", at positions 33 to 507 of the family's 1533-position model. The record is from RNAcentral.